GAGGUUUAGCUCAGUUGGGAGAGCGUCUGCCUUACAAGCAGAGGGUCACAGGUUCAAGCCCUGUAAUCUCC
Molecule: transfer RNA, 71 nt
Filed under: insect gut metagenome
Rfam family: tRNA
About the family: Transfer RNA (tRNA) molecules are approximately 80 nucleotides in length.
Source: RNAcentral